RNAcentral lists this ribosomal RNA (535 nucleotides) under Fusarium chlamydosporum. RNAcentral describes it as "eukaryotic LSU rRNA". The stretch from base 183 to 336 matches the Rfam family "5.8S ribosomal RNA". Lineage: Eukaryota; Fungi; Ascomycota; Sordariomycetes; Hypocreales; Nectriaceae. The record is from RNAcentral.
UCCCAAACCCCUGUGAACAUACCUAUACGUUGCCUCGGCUGGCGGCACUCCCAACCCCUGUGACAUACCUAUACGUUGCCUCGGCGGAUCAGCCCGCGCCCCGUAAAACGGGACGGCCCGCCCGAGGACCCCUAAACUCUGUUUUUAGUGGAACUUCUGAGUAAAACAAACAAAUAAAUCAAAACUUUCAACAACGGAUCUCUUGGUUCUGGCAUCGAUGAAGAACGCAGCAAAAUGCGAUAAGUAAUGUGAAUUGCAGAAUUCAGUGAAUCAUCGAAUCUUUGAACGCACAUUGCGCCCGCCAGUAUUCUGGCGGGCAUGCCUGUUCGAGCGUCAUUUCAACCCUCAAGCUCAGCUUGGUGUUGGGACUCGCGGUAACCCGCGUUCCCCAAAUCGAUUGGCGGUCACGUCGAGCUUCCAUAGCGUAGUAAUCAUACACCUCGUUACUGGUAAUCGUCGCGGCCACGCCGUAAAACCCCAACUUCUGAAUGUUGACCUCGGAUCAGGUAGGAAUACCCGCUGAACUUAAGCAUAU